Molecule: ribosomal RNA, 501 nt
Filed under: uncultured bacterium
Lineage: Bacteria
Description: partial 16S ribosomal RNA
Rfam family: Bacterial small subunit ribosomal RNA
Source: RNAcentral
AUUGAACGCUGGCGGCAUGCCUUACACAUGCAAGUCGAACGGCAGCACGGGUGCUUGCACCUGGUGGCGAGUGGCGAACGGGUGAGUAAUACAUCGGAACGUACCUUAUCGUGGGGGAUAACGCAGCGAAAGUUGCGCUAAUACCGCAUACGCCCUGAGGGGGAAAGCGGGGGACCGUAAGGCCUCGCGCGAUUAGAGCGGCCGAUGUCUGAUUAGCUUGUUGGUGAGGUAAAAGCUCACCAAGGCGAUGAUCAGUAGCGGGUCGGAGAGGACGAUCAGCCACACUGGGACUGAGACACGGCCCAGACUCCUACGGGAGGCAGCAGUGGGGAAUUUUGGACAAUGGGGGCAACCCUGAUCCAGCAAUGCCGGGUGAGUGAAGAAGUCCUUCGGGUUGUAAAGCUCUUUUGUCAGGGAAGAAACAGCAGCUCUAACACAGUCUGCGAAUGACGGUACCUGAAGAAUAAGCACCGGCUAACUACGUGCCAGCCGCCGCGGUAA